GGUGUUAGACCCGUUGGGGUACAACUCGGCAGUUAUUGAUGUUUCCUAUGAGUCGGAUUGUUUGAGAAUGCAGUCCAAAUUUGGUGGUAAACUCCAUCUAAGGCUAAAUACUUGUAUGAGUCCGAUAGCAAACAAGUACCGUGAGGGAAAGUUGAAAAGAACUUUGAAGAGAGAGUUAAAUAGUACGUGAAAUCGCUUAGAGGUAAACGAGUGGAGCCGAAAACGUUGUACGGGAUUCAGUUGUGUAUGUGAUGAUGAUUGGUUUGGUGAGAUCUCUAAAGGAAUUGCCGGAUCGAUAGUGUUUGUUGCAGACGCGAUGCACUUCCUGUACAGCAAAACUGUGACCAAUAGUGUUGUUUUUCUGUCGUAGUGGUGAAGGUGACCAUUUGCUUGCAAUUGGUUUUAUAGCUCAUUACACGGUUAAAUCUAAUGUAUUGGUGAAUGCGGUUGGUCAAUGUUGGCAAUGUGUUAUAUGUGAGGUUUGGUAGCUGACUACUUGUAGACUGUUAUCAGGUUUUGCGUGUGGCAUCGUUGUUGAUGGAUCAAUCUAAAGUCGCAGUAUAAUGUAGGUUAUCUACUCGUCCCGUCUUGAAACACGGACCAAGGAGUUUUAUAUGAUCGCGAGUCAAAGGGCCAUACGAAACCCCAGGGCGUAAUUAAUGUAAAGGUUUACUUUAGUAAGCUGAGAUGUGACCUGAUUUCCGUCAAAAGAAACAUCAGUGCAACAUCUACCCGUCUGAAGAUGUUCGCAUCUGGGCGGAGUUGGAGCGAUCAUGUAGAGACCCGAAAGAUGGUGAACUAUGCUUGUGCAGGUUGAAGUCAGAGGAAACUCUGAUGGAGGACCGCCGCGGUUCUGACGUGCAAAUCGAUCGUCGGACAUGAGUAUAGGGGCGAAAGACUAAUCGAACCAUCUAGUAGCUGGUUCCCUCCGAAGUUUCCCUCAGGAUAGCUGGCGUUUGAUGUCGUAGUUUUACCUGGUAAAGCGAAUGAUUAGAAGUAUUGGGGGCGAAAUGCCCUCAACUUAUUCUCAAACUUUAAAUGGGUUCGAAGUGUAGCUCGCUUCAUUGGAGUUACACAUUGAAUACGAAUGCCUAGUGGGCCAUUUUUGGUAAGCAGAACUGGCGAUGUGGGAUGAACCAAACAUUUGGUUAAGGUGCCUAACACCACGCUCAUGAGAACCCACAAAAGGUGUUGGUUGGUUAAGACAGCAGGACGGUGGACAUGGAAGUCGUCAUCCGCUAAGGAGUGUGUAACAACUCACCUGCCGAAUCAACCAGCCCUGAAA
This 1285-nucleotide ribosomal RNA is filed under the name Gusana hualpensis. RNAcentral describes it as "partial 28S ribosomal RNA". It matches the Rfam family "Eukaryotic large subunit ribosomal RNA", at positions 211 to 1317 of the family's 3401-position model. Lineage: Eukaryota; Metazoa; Platyhelminthes; Tricladida; Geoplanidae. The record is from RNAcentral.